ACUCCUACGGGAGGCAGCAGUGGGGAAUAUUGCACAAUGGGCGCAAGCCUGAUGCAGCAACGCCGCGUGAGGGACGACGGCCUUCGGGUUGUAAACCUCUUUUAGUAGGGAAGAAGCGAAAGUGACGGUACCUGCAGAAAAAGCACCGGCUAACCACGUGCCAGCAGCCGCGGUAAUACGUAGGGUGCAAGCGUUAUCCGGAAUUAUUGGGCGUAAAGAGCUCGUAGGCGGUUUGUCGCGUCUGCUGUGAAAACUGGAGGCUCAACCUCCAGCCUGCAGUGGGUACGGGCAGACUAGAGUGCGGUAGGGGAGAUUGGAAUUCCUGGUGUAGCGGUGGAAUGCGCAGAUAUCAGGAGGAACACCGAUGGCGAAGGCAGAUCUCUGGGCCGUAACUGACGCUGAGGAGCGAAAGCAUGGGGAGCGAACAGGAUUAGAUACCCUGGUAGUCCAUGCCGUAAACGUUGGGAACUAGAUGUAGGGUCCAUUCCACGGAUUCUGUGUCGCAGCUAACGCAUUAAGUUCCCCGCCUGGGGAGUACGGCCGCAAGGCUAAAACUCAAAGGAAUUGACGGGGGCCCGCACAAGCGGCGGAGCAUGCGGAUUAAUUCGAUGCAACGCGAAGAACCUUACCAAGGCUUGACAUAUACCGGAAAAGUUCAGAAAUGUUCUCCCCGCAAGGUCGGUAUACAGGUGGUGCAUGGUUGUCGUCAGCUCGUGUCGUGAGAUGUUGGGUUAAGUCCCGCAACGAGCGCAACCCUCGUUCUAUGUUGCCAGCACGUAAUGGUGGGAACUCAUAGGAGACUGCCGGGGUCAACUCGGA
RNAcentral lists this ribosomal RNA (819 nucleotides) under uncultured Actinomycetes bacterium. Its description in RNAcentral is "bacterial SSU rRNA". It matches the Rfam family "Bacterial small subunit ribosomal RNA", at positions 335 to 1167 of the family's 1533-position model. Lineage: Bacteria; Bacillati; Actinomycetota; Actinomycetes. The record is from RNAcentral.